Molecule: ribosomal RNA, 253 nt
Filed under: uncultured bacterium
Lineage: Bacteria
Description: partial 16S ribosomal RNA
Rfam family: Bacterial small subunit ribosomal RNA
Source: RNAcentral
UACGUAGGGUGCAAGCGUUGCCCGGAUUUAUUGGGCGUAAAGGGCGCGUAGGCGGCUCGGCACGUCCGUUGUGAAAUCGCCCGGCUCAACUGGGCGGGGUCAGCGGAUACGGUCGAGCUUGAGCAAGCUAGGGGGCAACGGAAUUCCCGGUGUAGUGGUGGAAUGCGUAGAUAUCGGGAGGAACACCUAUGGCGAAGGCAGCUCGCUGGGACGUUACUGACGCUGAGACGCGAAAGCGUGGGGAGCAAACAGG